Molecule: ribosomal RNA, 1413 nt
Filed under: Triticum aestivum (bread wheat)
Lineage: Eukaryota; Viridiplantae; Streptophyta; Magnoliopsida; Poales; Poaceae
Description: partial small subunit ribosomal RNA
Source: RNAcentral
AUGCCGGCGACUUUGCGGCCUUCUUCUCAUCAGUGGGCCGACCUCCUGCCGGAGCUCCUAGGGCGGGUCAUCGACCGCCUCCCGCGCCCCGACGAUCGUGCUCGCUUCCGUGCCGUGUGCCGUCCAUGGCACCUUGCCGUGCGCCAGCAUAAUCGUCCGCAGCUGUCGUGGAUCAUCUACUUGGAUGGCACCUUUGUCACCUUCCCUGAUCAUGGUAUUCAUCACGGGCUAUCACUCCUCCACGACACGACCUUCAUCGGCGUCUGUAACAACUGGCCCGUCUUUUACCGGAUCGCUAACGGUAGGCGUAUUCAUCUCUUGCAUAACCCUUUCACAGAAUCAACGGUGCCGCUCCCAGGGCUCGACUCCGUCAUCGAUGAUACCUCUGACCUGUUCGAGAUUCGGAAGGUAAUCAUGCCGUCGACCGAAGAUGAUAUCAUUGCGGUGACGACCAGCAAUUGCAAUUACCCGAUCACCUUGUGUCGCCUUGGGAAGCCCGGCGCAUGGUGGCCCCAACGGGGAGAGAUGCCGUAUGCGUCUAUAUAUGAUGUCGUGUUCUAUAGAGGCAAACUAUGUGGGAUCACUAAGGGCAAUGAUCUUGUUGUGAUGGAUAUUGGUGAAGACAAUGACGGAAUCCCUGUUGUUAAAAAUGUAAAGUAUAUUAUCAAGCACCCACCGGGUGAUGAUGAUGAUGAGGAGGAGGAAGAAUACGAAGAUGAUGGACAAGUGUCGAGCAAUGACGAAGAAGAAGAGGUGGUGUACAAUGAAGCGUCAAGCAUCGACGAGGACGACGAAGAGUUGGACGAUGCAUCGAUUGUCAACGACGACUCUGACGAUGAUAAGGUAACAAUGAACAAACCGGCAAACAAGGACAACAACUUUAACAUUGAUGACCACGAAGAAGUGUUGAGCAAUGAGGAUGAAGAAGAAGUGGAUGAUGGAGAUUAUGAUGAUGGGUCGAGUAUCUUAGGUGAUUCAUUUUUUCAAGGCAUGAGACCGAACACCUUGGACUACAUGGUUCCGGACGGCACUGAGCAGCUCUUUUGUCCACACGGAGAAGACCUAGAUGCCAUCAUAACCAGUCGACAUCUCUUUGAGUUGAAUGGCAAGUUAUUCAUGCUCAGGCGGCAACAAUAUGUGCAUGUAUUCUCUCGUCGCUACAAUCUUAAGAUCGAGGUCUUGGAGGCAGACGUCAAAACAGGCGUAUGGAUUCUGCGGAUGGACGGCGUGCCAGGUGCAUUCUUCGUGAGCCAACAUUACUCAAAACAUGUCCCCACAUACCAAGAGGCAAGAAAGAAGUUUAUCCACCACUUUGUAGACGAGCAUAACGUAGGGGUCGAUUCAAGAUCUCAACGGUUUACUCUAUGGGAUGGAAAGCCGACGUGGUUCUUCCCGCAAGAGCCGGUUGUAUGA